UAGGUUUGGGAGACCUGGGUGACCUACGAAAGUUAAUUAGAAGGUUAACAAAGACUAAGGCAGAGUAGAAUACCGCGCCUCUCCUCCAGCCAAAGAUGUCAUCCAUUAAUUAGGGAAAUCGUUAAGGUGGCCUUUAUUGAAUCCAUAGAAAAUCGGGAGUCGGCGGUCGACAGUUUUGAUCAGAUUUUCCUCUCCCCAGUAAUACUACCCUUAAUCGUAGGAGCAGCGGAGGGCUCGAGGCGGGACGGGAGGGCGCGGGGGGAAAGUGUGUGUGCGUGUAGGGGGAGUGUGUGUUUCAGCGACAUUACAGUUAAACAGCCGCCGAUUGUGACGGCUUUGAUUCUCAGGCUUACAUGGCAUACUUUGUCCAUGAUGUAAUCUUUAUUGAACCUGGAAGCUUGGGGGUGGGGGGCAGGGGGCAAGUGAAACUCACUGCCGCUCAGCCGCAGGAAGCUCGGGGAGUUAAUAUUGCAGUCAUCAUAGGCAGGGUUGGUGCUUUGGCAUGUACCAAAGUGGUGUUGCUAUGGAGAAUUCCAAGUACAGUGUUGGACAAUCACGGCCUUUUAACCUCUGCCAUGGACAGUAACUACAGCCAGCAUGUCGUCCAUGCUUUAACCAAGAAACGGGCAUAGCAUGGAAAGCAGUGCUCCAUUGGAAGGUGAAAAGCCAUCACCUUCAAGAGGAGGAAGGCAACGACAAGAUCAACCACAGUCCAGGAUGGUUGUGUUAAAGCCAUGUUGUCCCUGCUCCAAUGUCCUGGAGUCUAUGGGCUGGAGGCAACGCUUUAAGAGUUUUAACAAAUGUGGAAUUGCAAUGUUUGGACGUCUGGAGGUCUAUAUCCUAUGUACCACAUGGUACAAAAUGUGCUGGAAUUAAAAAAAAAAAAAAAAAGAAAAGGAGUAAUAAUACUUUAACUGACUGGUCUUAGGGAGAAAUCACACAGUUUCAGGCUGUUAGACACUAAUAAGUUACUAAAAAAUCUUACACUUAUUCUUACAUUUCAUAUUAUGGUUGAAAGCUUCUGCUUGUUAACAUGAAUCUCUCCAUUGCAAAGUAUUCAGAUGUUAAAUACCAAGAAAAUAUGACUACGUUUUAGAACUAAAUGUUAGCCUGAAAUGCACAGGGCACACUUUGGCCUUACUGCCUACAUCUUUCUGUGCACUGCAGUAGAUAUUAUUUCACUUUUUAUAUAAGCUACAAUUCAAGUUCCCCCCCUCAAAGAUAUUUCAGCCUUUACUUAGUACCUCAUUAUUUUAAUAUAUUCAACUGAAAGCAGCAAAUAUGAGCACAGGAGCAGCAGCAAAGAAAUGCCAAGCUGCUUCCUGCACGCUCCACACCAUCACUCAGCUUGUCUGUGUCCUUCUUCCUGUGUUAAAGGGAGGUGUGGCAAGGCUUCUCCAUGAGCAAGGCUUUCCCCAUGCUUUGAAGAGCUCAAAGAGAACUGGGAUUUGGCUUGGAGAGACGAUGUGCUCCCACAGCUCUGUUUUGGUCAUUUUUUCUCUUUUAGGCUAAGAGACAAACUAACUCACCCAUUGUGUAGCUGCUGAGGUCUCCAGAUAAAGUGCUAUAAGAGUGCCACACACUAUUAUUCUUUUAUUAUGGAGCAGCCAUAGCUUUUCAAGAGUUAUUGUGGAUUUUUAUAUGUUUUCCUAUUGCCUUUUGUCUUCUAGUAGCAGUCCUGUGGUUUUGAGAGCUUC
Molecule: long non-coding RNA, 1697 nt
Organism: Gallus gallus (chicken)
Lineage: Eukaryota; Metazoa; Chordata; Aves; Galliformes; Phasianidae
Exons: 3
Source: RefSeq, a predicted model, not a curated record